UGUGUGUGUGUGUGUGUGUGUGUGUGUGUGUGUGUGUGUGUGUGUGUGUGUGAGUGUGUGUGUGUGUGUGUGUCUGUGUGUGUGUGUGUGUGUGUGUGUGUGAGUGUGGAAACCGGAACAGAAUGGAAUCUAAUGCAUUUUAGGAAUACCAGACAUGCCUGUGGUCUGAAUGGACAGUAUUCAUCCUGGUUCCCACUUUUCCAUCCAGCUUAUUCCGGACGGCUAUGGCAACCUGAUGGACGUUGCUGUGUAUGCGCAGCGAAGCGUGAGUGUUUUUAGUCUGCGCGUUUGAAUCUCUGCAGCUGGCCAGGCGUUAUAUCAUGUGUGCGUUGAGAGCUCAGCCGGUCUGGGGUUAAUAUCAUGGCCACAGCUGCGUUCUCACACUGCCCAGCAGACCUGAUCAUUACCGGAGCUCUGGAGCCCUGACACAUGCACACUGGCCACAAAUCAUCCAGUCAAUCAGAGCUGACAGCGACGCUGUAGUGUGAAGCGCAAGGAUGUAGUCCACGAAACACAGCAGCUAUGCGCCGUUUAAUUAUUACUAUUUUAUAUUAGUUUAAACCAAAUGUAAAAUACGUUGACAUUUACUCAUGACAUAAUGUCCUUUGUGAAAAAGAACUGUGCUUAAUUGUUCGGAAAUGUGAGCUGAUCGUAAAUGUAUAUACUGUAUUAAAAAAACAUAAUAUUGGUGAAAUAGAAGGCCAUAUAAAGUGCAUUCUGUAGUACAGUAAAAAUAAUAAUAAUAAUAAUAAUAAUAAUAGCUUUAUUUUCUAUAGCACCUUUAAAUGUUACUUCUGUGAAUAAGCAAAUAAAACAUCGAAAUAAACCCCAUAAAAAUGCAGAAUAAGCAAAAUAGAAAGAAAACGAGCAAUAAAAACUAUUUAAAAAAAUAUAAAAAUAUUUCUGUUUUGAAAAUAUCGGGAGAACAUUACAUCUUUUACUUUAAAGAACACUUACAUUUGUUGCUGUUUUCAUAUUUUAAUUUUGAAUAACGUUACUAGGCAUGUAAAGUACUUUAAUAAAUAUUAAAGAGGCGUGCUAUUAAAUUUUACAGUACAGUUGAAGUUCCUGUUGAAUUCUUAAUAAUCAUAGUUUAAAACUAACUACGUGCAUAAAAAAUAAAAAGCUCAGCUAACUGCACUUAAUAUAAAUUCCACAAUCAUAAAAUUUUCAUUAAAUUGCAACUAAAAUGUCUUAGAUUCUGAAAACAUUACAUUACGUUUACAAUUAAGCAUAUAUGCAUUUUAAAUCAAAAGUGUACUAUUUCUAUAACGUGUACUCUAUUUAAAGUCCUUCCUUUCACAAGGUGAUCUUUUUUAUUUGCAACUCGUUUGCCUUUGUUCAUUUUGUAAAUGUGAAUAUAAUAAGCUCUAAACGUAAUUUGUCUCUUCACUCUUCAUUAGCCUUUCAGCCAGUUAUUAUUUAUUCGCCACCGCUCAAACGGAGAAACAUUAAAAAGGCUUUUUUCCCUUACCGUUUCAAGGUGUCGUUUUCAUUUACUUUGGCGUUUUUUUUUUUUUUUUAUACGCGUGUUGUUUAAGUUUUUUUAUGCAUUCAUGAGCAGACAGAAGAACAUCUGUAGCUUUCAAAACAUUCAGCUCAUUAGCCAAUAGUCAUUACACGGUGUCCCACUGUUUCUCUUGUUUUUCUCCUCUUCUUUUCUUUCAGAGGUUUUUUUUUCUCCCGUAAAAUUGAUUCUGAUUUUUAAACUCAAUACAAAAGUGUCUGACUCAGAUGUUUCUAUUGAGUGUCUUGUGCUUUGGCGUCAUCUUGCAGUUCGAAUGUGACAUUUAAUGAAGCAAUGGCUUGAAAGAUGAAAUGCCCUGAAAGAGGAGGUUGGCAGUUAGAUGAAUAACAUUGCCACCGUAUUUUAUACCAAAUGUAUAAAAGACGCGCAUACAUAUUCUAAUACUUUAACUAAAGGCUUUACAUUGCAGUGGCAUUCUUCAUUGCAUAUUUAUGAGGUCGAGAUCAGGCAUUAAAUGCUUGUCCAUCUGUGGAAGUGCCUGUUUAUAAUUUAAGUCACCUUGAUUGUUUCUCCCAGAUGCUGAAAAAAUGCAUCUGAAGGAACGAAGCAUUAUUUAGUUCAUAAUAGGCUUCCUUGCACAAAAUCGUAUUCUUGAUGCCAUCCUUGUCUCCCAUCAGUCCCAUUUUAGAGUUUUUGCAAGCAGCUUCAAAGAAGUAAACAGGAAAAUAAUAUAAUAGAAUAUAAAAAUGGAAACUCAACAGUGGAGACAGAUCAAAUUCUGCGGCGAUGCAAUCAUAAAAUACAAUACUAAUGUCACUAUUUAGCUCGAGUGAGUCGAUUCGGAUUCUUCGCGAUAUCUGCUUCUCUUGAUCAUCAGCAAUUUUUUGGCCACUGGAUCAUCCUGAAUUUAAUGUGUUAGGACCAAGCCUCCAUAAGCUAACAUAUUGUGGAGUUUGCCAGAUGUCAAAGGUUUAAAUUCCCCAAUCACAUCCUUUUGCUUAAAUCGAUACAGUUUCUGCGCGGUGGUUUACUUAAUCUUCCAACCUGGCAACCAUGUGUAUGCACUCUCUCUGCACUGCAGAGCUGUAAAAUCCUAGCAAAAUGUACGUUUUCUGCCCAAAUAAGAGUGUAAUAUAGAGCAAACCGUACACGUAGAUUAAAAGUACAACAAUUGGUGAUAAAAUGUCAUUUAAAAAAAUAAUACUAAAUAAUUCUGAUUAAUAGCUUAAACGUUAUCUUGCAGCCCUAAUAACAGUGUACUGCUUACAUACAUGUAGAUUGAUUAUCGGCCAAGUAAUAAUUCCAAUAUUUCAAUUUAUUCUUCCAUGUCCACUUAAAAGGGUCUUUUGAUUCAUUUUUUAAAUCCCUAUUUUAAAAUCCCAUUUUUUUAAAUCGGGCUUCUGAGUUCUGAGCUUCCUGUCAGAAUAAUUUAGAUUUGCACAAGCCACUCCCACAAUAGUUGAUUGGCAAGGCCGCCUUACCCGCCCUGAGUGAGCUGUCAACAGUUAGACAUUGUGUCGAUUAACGUCCUUUUCAGUUUGAAGGUAAUGCGCCGAUCCCCGAUCUAAAUAAAUGCAUUUAUGUUAUGAAUUAGCAAAAUUGCCUUUGCUGGUUAGCCAGUUUACCGGCUGAAGUUUACAGCAUGCUGGUCACUUCGUGGCAUAGAAUGGCUUGCUGAAAACAAAGCUGAUCUUGACGGAGUGAAAAAAAUACACUACCAUUAAGAAAUUUUAACCAAAAUAUGUUAUGUUUGCACAGUAUGUAUCAUUUUGGGAUAUGUUCAUUUAAAAUAUCAGAAGAGUAUGUAUGUAAACAGUUUGUCGACCGAUAUAUCGUCAAGGCUGACAUAUCGGCCAAUAUUUGGCAUUUUUAAAACACACGCGUUUACAUUUUUCCAUUUGGCCGAUAUGUUUAAGGCGGGACUUUUAUUUUGAUGUUGCUGAGAAAAAAAGCGCCUGAGCACUAGUUAAACAAAGUAGUUAAAAUAUAUAUUAAAGAAGCAUUAUAACGAUUAUAAUAUUAGCAGUAAAAAAGCAAACAUUAUAAUACUUGUCGUGAGCAUUCAGCAAAUACGCAUUUAUUUCACUUAAAUCUUUGAAUUACUAAUGAAAAUGUAAAUUUACAAAACUUGCAAACUUAGUUGAAUCUAGCUGAUAUCUUGAGAAGUGUGUGUGUAUCCUGGUUGUGUGUUCUCUGCGUGACGGUCUGUCCGUGUGAAUUAAAUGCUGAUGGAAGAGGAGUUCAGCUUCACAUAUGAUUUCAUAUUAUGCAAAUUCUUACAUUUUACUUAAAGUUAUAUUAUCGUAAUAUCGGCUAUUGGCCACCCUGCUUUCCAAAAUAUCGGCGUCGGUCUUCAAAAAGGCCAUAUCGGUCAACCACAAGUGCAGGCUUUGUAUUUAAAAUGUCUCUUGAUAUAUACCUGUAAUUAUUGAUUAUUUAAUAGACACAAUUCAGAAAACUAAGCUCAAGGUACUACAGAGGAUUUUUAUCGGGAAGUUAGCUUCACUUUGGUUUGUUUGACCAAAAGCCUUUAACAUUUGGAUUAUUUGAUCACAUGUGUUAAUUGUCAAGAUCAUCUUCAUUUAUAUAUUUAUAUAUUAAAUAUCAUUGCCAGAAGUAAAUAGUUAAAAGCUUGUUAAAUAAGUUUCUUUCAAUCUAUAAUUAAAAAUCUACAAGUUUGAGUUAGAAACAUUUACAGGAGUGUAAGUAUAAAUACAAUGAGGCUAUAAUGGUGAACUAUUGAAUAAAUGAGUUUUCCUUUUCAACAACCUCUAUAGCGUAAUAAAAUAUCUCAUCAUUCACUCAUACAUUUAUAUGUUUAAUCUAUCAGCUGCCAUUAUGUUUUGCCGCAGAACAACGUUAGCGAUUUUAGCAUUUAGCAUUUUCUGCAUCUUUGCAGGACUGCAAUACUAACACUGUACAAACUCUCAUAUCUUUACCAACAGUGCGAAAGUAAAUAGCACAUAAUAGGCAAAGUACUGGUACAAAGAUAGAUAUCCGUUGGUUCAUUAUGUGUCACAUGGCGAAACAUGCAUCGUCGCUUUCUAACCACUAUUUUCACACUCCAGUGUGGCUAGCUACAGAUAUGCCAUUUGCUAGCUCUUUUGCAAAAGUUACUGUAUUUUUUUUUAUAAAUAUUUUCCGUGUGCAAUAUGUAUCAGGUGGCCUAUAAAAAGACUGUAGGCGAUCCGUAGGCAUGGAUUAAGGCUUCAUUACCCAGAGCAAAAAAUCAGUGCUAAGUCCCAUUCAGAAUUAAAAGUGUGAACGUUUCUUAACCCAAGGUUAAAAGCGGCCCGGGGGUUAAAAACGAUGUUAACCCAGGGUUAAUCGCGGUGGGAAAAACCUUUAAGUGUACUUUCAGCUAACUAGUUAUUACAGACUUCGAUAUGCAACAUAUAGGUUAAAUGUAACCCCAUGGGUAAAUCUUAAAGUACUGUACUGUAUGUCUGUUAAUUAAAGCGAAGCAGACGGCCGAGGUCACACCGGAUUUAGCUUUGUGUCCACGGGUAAUUCGCUCUGUACUCGUGAUCAGAGAGAACCAGAGGGGAUGUUGGCACUGUCUGUGUUUUCCAGCGGGAAAGAGGGUGGCUUCAUGGCAUCGUUGUGUAAUAGGUGUCAGUCUGAACUAGGAAAACAAACCACGUUUUCCUGCGGCUGGAGCGGAGCAGCAGACUAUGUGAAAUUACACAGCCAGGCCUCAGGGGCAUGGAGAGGAAUUUCAAAGGAAACACAGCAGUCUGCUUCAUAUUGAGAUUACAUUAAGGGAACCGAAUGCAGUCUGGAAUGUGUAAAGGGGCCGUUCGGAGUGUAAUAAUCAUAUUAGUCUGGCAGUGUGAGCUCCAGCUUCACCCAGCAGCUAAAAAAAACCCUGCUUUGUCUUGUGUAUUCAGUGUCUUCGAUUCAGUCUCUAAACUGGUAGUUUUCUCUCUUCUUUGCUGUAUUUUUCUCCUUUUCAUAAGCCUGUUAGCUUCUAUAGCCGGUGCUCUUUUAUGUUCAUCCGUAUAUAUGCAUUCCUGACUCACUGAUUCCAUUUAUUUUUUUUAUGGUAAAUAGGACCACCACAAUGGUGUACCCUCCUUUCAAACAAACAAAUUCAACCCCUGGUGACUCCCUGAGGACUGUGCUUGCAACAAAUGCACUUUGGAUUAAAGCAUUAGCUAAAUGGCAAAGAUUGACUUGCGUGUUUGGUAAAUAGUCGGUUCAAUAAGGCCUGAAAUGUUAAAGUACACAAACACUGGCGUGAAUGCUUGACUAACAUAUUGUAGGUGAAUGUUCAUUUUGAACAUGCAUUGAACAUCUGUUGUGUUGCUAUGUAACUGUGCCAGUAAUAAACCUCAAUAUUCAAAUGGAUGGACUAUUUAAGGUCUGUGCCAUUAAAUAUGUAAAAAAAAAUAAAAAGCUUGUUUAAGUCGCAUUUGUGUUCAUGAGAUUCAAUAAUAUUUCACAUGUUUUUCAUUUCUAAAUAACAAUUAAUUUUUAUAAUUUUAAUAAAUGUCAGUGAUGCAAGUGAAGAUGAAAAGAGUGAAGAUGAAAUCCACACAAAAUGAAUUAUAUUCUUAAAAAGAAUGGAUUUAUUAUUGACCAAAACGGCCCCACUUUAUAUUAACUGGGCUUAACUACUGUGUACUUACAUUUAAAUUAAUAAUUUAGUAGAAUGCACUUAUUGUAUACAUACUUGUCUUUUAAGUCGUAGGUAUAUUGUUAGAAAUACCUAUAUUUAAUUACACCUUCAUAUUUACACUGUUGACCCAUUCCUUACACCUUACAAACCUGUAUCUCACCUCAACAGCAGCCAAAGUCUUUUAUAAUACAACAUGACCACAAUGAGUACAUUGUACUUAGUUUCUGAUGCAAGUACAUAUUAAUUAAAGUCACCUAAUAUUUUGUGACCAAAAAAGUUUUUCGUGUGGUGUAACCAUCUGCGUAGACCAGGGACUCCCAAGUACAACCAUUAGCUGAAAAUUCAUUGUCAGACAGUUCUGUCAAAGCAAACAAAUCCAAAUCAAGAGACAGCAGGGGUAAACAAGGAAUACAGGUUAUGCUAGGUAAAGAUAACACUCAUAAUUGCAAAACAACUACAAUUGGUAAGAAUGUGUGCUGAAGUGAAGCCAAACAGAAUAUGGGGGAUAGUAAAGUGAAUUGAGAACAGUUGUGGGAGAAGAUGGCAUGAAGCAAAAGUUUCAGGUCAUUAUAGUACAGGGUGAGUUAAUAUUCAGGGGAGAAAGACCUCAUGUAGAGAGGAGUGGUGGUGUUACGACUGGUGAACAAUUCGGCACCAUUGCGGAAAAGAGGAAAAUUACAGCAGAGAGGACCCCUGCAGACCCUUAUUUGUGUGCCCAGUUCAGAUAAUUUCAUUUUUUUUGACAAAGUUAGUUCAGGUUUUAAUGUGUUGUUACUCCUACUAAGUUAUUUUUCUGUUCUUUGUUUAGAGAUAAAAAAGAAGUUAACACACAGAUACACAACAAAGCUAAAUAUCAGCUCUGCAAUUCAGCACUCCGGUCCAGUAAAGUCAAGCCAUCGUUUUUUUUAAAUAGCACUUUAUACAAAAGAUUGCUUUAAAAGCAGCUUUACAGUAUUAAACGUGACAAAAGUGUUGCUUUCAAUUAGAGCUUUUUCUAGCAAGUUCACUUUGAUGUAUUUAAAAUGCAUUAUUAUUAUUGAAAUACAAUACAGUGCAGUUUGUAGAUCCAAGAUGGCGAUUAUUUUGAUUAUUAUCGUUAUUAUCAUUAUUUUUAUGUUGUGUACCAAAAGUUAAGAUUGAACCACUGAAGGCAGAUGGACUAUUUUGACGGUGUCUUUCAUGCUUAUCUGGACACUGACAGUGUUACUUGGCAGUCCAAAAUAUCCUAAACUGUGUUCAAAGGAGGAACAAGGCUUUUAGGGGUUUGACGCAACAUGGGGGUAAGUGAUUAAUUUCGUUUUUUUAUUAUUAUGCGGUGGAAUAAGCCUAACAUUAGCAAUUUAGACAAAUAUAAAGAGCUGUUUCUCAGUCUGAGUUUGUCCAUACACCACCCAUUUUACAAGAUGUUGUUGACUCGAGAGAAAUGGCUUAUGGAAAAUAGCUGCAUUUACAUUAGCUAGCUCAGUUUACCGUAUUUGUGUAUUUUGCACCGUGUCUCUUGUGGCAAGAGUGUGAGGGAAGCCUGACUAGACUUAAUUAAUCAGGUUUUCACGGGGUGUGGAAACCGACGGAGCCACCUGGAGAACUGCCACCGGCAUUCAGCUUCUGUCACUGUCAUUCUCUAUGUGAAGGACAAAUGAAGUCAUAUUAAAAUCAUAUUAAAUUACAAUAUAGGUGUAGACAUUUUAAUGCUGGCACGGACAGCGUUCUAAUUUCUUGGCCCGGUUGCUUCCUGUCUUUGAAUUAUUCACGUCAUUUUCGGUCGGGAGUAAAUGUUUUCCUUUUAUGUACUUUAGACCUCUGCUUGCCAAAUCCAGCAUAUGUGUCAGUGCGUUCUCUCUGCUUUCAACUCUGCCACUUGGCAGCUGCCUACAGCUGGCUGGACACUGUGUGUAACAUACGAGUUGGUGACGGUGUGCUGAGAGAGAGAGAGAGAGAGAGAGAGAGAGACACGGUGUGCUUGGCGAGGGCUGUUUGAGUGAGAAGAGUGAGCUGGUUGUGAGUUUCAGAGUUUCCUGUCCAGCUGUAUCAUUGGCACGGGCUGAAAGAGAAGGACUCAGACCCUCGCACAAUACAGCACUUGUGUUGCAGUCCGGGAACUCAGGAAUGCGGCUCUCACCUUCAUAUGGCUGACAGGAGUUUGUUUUGGAACGAGAGAUAUUAUCCAACGCACUCGCUCGCUCGCUUUUUCGCUUUUCCUCACUUACGUCUCUCUCACUCUUUCAUGACCGUCCUCAAAGUAAAGAAAAUACAGUGACUUCAGCCUGAAAUCUGACAUCUGACUCCUCCACCUGCAGUAGUUUCUUUCAGUUCGUGAUUUUUUUUAGUCCCUUUUAUCCCGUUAGCAAUUUUGACUGCAGCUCUUCCGAGCAUUCCCAUUCAAUUAAACGCUAGGAAUUUCUAGAGACCUUCCUAAAUCACUUUAUCCGUUCAUUAAAGCCAGUUUUCAUGAAACACAUGGGUGUGAAAAUCACAGGGAUCAAAACCUUUCUCGCUGGAAGACGGAUUAAGCAACAGACUCUCACUUCAUAUGAGAGAGAAAUGAGAAAAAAAUGUAUGCCUGGGUUAUUUUAGGAUUUGAUACUGGUGAUUGAGUUUGACCUUUAAAAAAUAUAAAUGUCCUAUUUUUAUGAAUCAAACCUUCCUUAUGCUCUUGUGUUAUGCUAUGUUUGUAGUUGAUUAGUGUUAUACUUAAAGUCAAUGUAACAGAAGUAAAACAUAGCAUCUUCCAUAUUGUAGUGCAUUUAAAAUAAAGAUUCAAAAGUUUUUCACACAGAUGCCAUAGUGGAACUAUUUUUGCUUCCUCAAAGAAGCUUUUAGCGAACAUUUCUUAAAGUGUCCCUAUUAUGGAUUUUUUAAAAUUACCUUUAAUACAGUGUGUAACACAGCUCUAAUUGAAAACAUCCUGCAAAGUUUUAAAUCUAAAAGUGCACUGUGUGUAGUUAUUGUCUGUCAAAAGAAAGAGUCGACACUAAACCAUUAAAACGAGUCCCAAGCCAUUUCAUGUUGACAUCCACUUGUUGGUCUUUUAACGUUGGUCUGAAUGAAAAUGCUAAUUCAUUCUUUGCCACUAGAUGCUGCUUUUUGGAGCGUUAAAACCUCACAAGCACUGCUU
This is a long non-coding RNA of Puntigrus tetrazona (Sumatra barb), 9204 nucleotides long. RefSeq lists it as uncharacterized. The record is from RefSeq and is a predicted model, not a curated record. Lineage: Eukaryota; Metazoa; Chordata; Actinopteri; Cypriniformes; Cyprinidae. The transcript has 2 exons.